UGGGGGAUCGUCUAAUGGUAGGACAUCGCCCUUUGAAGGCGAGUAUCGGGGUUCGAAUCCCUGUCCCCCAGCUA
RNAcentral lists this transfer RNA (74 nucleotides) under Candidatus Harrisonbacteria bacterium RIFCSPHIGHO2_01_FULL_44_13. RNAcentral's name for it is "tRNA-Gln". It matches the Rfam family "tRNA". From Rfam's summary of the family: Transfer RNA (tRNA) molecules are approximately 80 nucleotides in length. Their secondary structure includes four short double-helical elements and three loops (D, anti-codon, and T loops). Further hydrogen bonds mediate the characteristic L-shaped molecular structure. tRNAs have two regions of fundamental functional importance: the anti-codon, which is responsible for specific mRNA codon recognition, and the 3' end, to which the tRNAs corresponding amino acid is attached (by aminoacyl-tRNA synthetases). tRNAs cope with the degeneracy of the genetic code in two manners: having more than one tRNA (with a specific anti-codon) for a particular amino acid; and 'wobble' base-pairing, i.e. permitting non-standard base-pairing at the 3rd anti-codon position. Lineage: Bacteria; Candidatus Harrisoniibacteriota. RNAcentral also lists the same sequence under 1 other name. The record is from RNAcentral.